This 93-nucleotide small nucleolar RNA is filed under the name Nicotiana sylvestris (wood tobacco). RNAcentral describes it as "Small nucleolar RNA U31b". It matches the Rfam family "Small nucleolar RNA U31b". The record is from Rfam by way of RNAcentral. Lineage: Eukaryota; Viridiplantae; Streptophyta; Magnoliopsida; Solanales; Solanaceae. RNAcentral also lists the same sequence under 1 other name.
GAAAGUGAUGAUAGUUUAUUGUCGCCCCAGUCUUAAGUUGCAUCCAAAAAUAUUGGAUUUGCAAGGUGGUGAUUGACUUGUUAUAUCUGAUUC